UCAUACACAAUGUCAACAGUGAUUAUCAGGAGCUGCACCAGUGGUGAUGACUAACUUUAAAUAGGCUCUAAACUAACAAGAUUGCUUUUUUUUUUAAAGGAGAAAAAAAGACUAUUGCCAUUGGAUAAAUGUGAAUGUGUUGAGCUUAAUGCUAAACAGGCUUACCAAUAAACACAAAUAUGAAAUAAAUACCAUUAAUUCAUUUAAAACAUUCUGACCAGGAGCCUACAAUAGGUUAUGUAUUAUGCUACACAUUGUGGAUUAAGGCUGGUAUGAAUACUUCUGGAAAGGAGCUGACAUCAUAGGCCAAACAAGGGCAGAAAUGAUUAAAUCAACUUAUCAGCCACUUUCCAGUUUUCUCAUUACUUGGGGAAUAAAGUGUGACUGCAGGAAGUAUUGGCCAUAAAUACUCUCCAGUGGUUCCAGCCUGGGCACAUUAAGCAGGUUCUGGUCUGGCUUGGAAUGGAAGUAAAAUGAAGACUUUUAUAAACAUUGAUAUUCCAGAAAGGAUAAUUAUGCUCACAUAGUAGACCACUCAAAGAUGAGAAAUACAUUUUUUCUAAAUAAAUCAGUGAUAGAUAAGGCUGAGAAUAAAUGCUUCAUGAGUUCAUGUUAAUAAAGUGCUUUGAUGUAAUUAUGUCAUUAUUAAACUAUCAGUGCCUGGAAUUUAUUUGAGGCUGUGUGUGUAUACAAUGGUUCAUGACCAGCAGGGUUACUUCAGAACCACUGUCCCUUAUCAAUACCAAGUUCUAUUCUUAAGGGAAAUAGCUUCAAGAUUCCUGGCUAUAGCAGUGAGAAAUAAGAAAUUUCUCUUUCCUCAUGCCAACUACAAAUGUGUGCUUUGCUGUCUGCUUCACAAGGAUCAAAUUGGGAGCUGCUAUAGCAGGUGACCUUCAGCACCCUCUGAAAGGAGUUCAGGGUGGAGAUCAGGAAUGAGGCACUCUGUGCUUUGGGAAAAACUGGCAGAACAGGUCCUCAUAUAGUCAGAUAUUUUCAGAAGAUGUUAUGAGCCCAAUUCUUGCAUCUCCUUAUCUAGAAAAGCACUGACAUCCUUCAUGGUGAGGUCUGAUCCUUGUGACUAGCAGCAACCUUCUUCAAAGAUAUGUGAUUGACUGCACAUACUCUCCCUUCACCAAAAUCCCAUAUAUUGACCUUUCCCCUACCUCUCUGGAGCAGUUUCUCAGAACUAUCUGAAAUGCUGUCCCCCAGGGUUAUAGUCCUUACUUUGCCUGAAAUAAAACAACUUGCAACUCUCAACACUGUGUUGUGUUUUUUUUUUUUUUUAAGUCACUCAUAUUCUAUCUUGCUUAGGGUUAGAAAUCAAAGAAAGCAGCUGAAUAGAGAAAACUAGAAGUAAAUCAACUGACAGACACUGAAAGCUAAUAACAUCUCAUUACAUUGGUAAAAAUGGUUCAUUCUACUGGUAUCAGUGGGAUUAAGCCAGUGCCAGGCACUGUGCUGGUACUGGAUAAACACCAGUGAAUAAAGUAAGUAUACCCUCUACCUUAAGGGGGCUUACAUUCUAAUGGGGGAGAUAAGUAACAUCAAGCAAAGAAGCAAAUAAAUAUGGUCAAUAGUCCUUAGAUUGAAAUUCACAAAGGCAAGAAUAAAGCAAUAAAUAGGGAGCCAUGAUCAACAUAAAUGGAGAAACUGGGAGGAACCUUCUCAGGGUGACCACACAGGAGAUGACAUUCAUCUGAUAGGUCACCUCUAUCCAAGAGUUGAAGGACCAAAUUCCAUGCUGAAAAGAGACACACACAUAGAUAGCACUGCUUUCUCAUAAAUGCUUAUAAGGGUGACUGUGAACAAGACCCUCCUCCAGGGGAUCUUCACAACCCAGGGAUGGAACCCAUGUCUUUUAUCUCUGCCUUGGCAGGAGGGUUCUUUACCAUAAGUGCCACCUGGGAAGUCCAGUGAACUAGAAAAAAUAUCAAGUAUUUUUGGUUAAACCAGGGGCAAAAAUACUUCUAACACAAUUUCAUGUGACUAAGGGGACAGGUAUUGAGAACCAGGACCUAUACUCAUAAAUCUCAUUUCCUCCUCAAAAUCCAUCCAAUGUCUCACAAAGAGACUGAGGAUCAUAAAGGAUCAGGUAAUUGGCCCAAGAUCAUGCCCAACUGGCUGAAUGAAAACAUAGAGAAGCUCUAUUCCAAAGCUCUUUCCACUGCCUCAGUUCAGUAGCUCUGUCAUGUCCAACUCUUUGCAAUCCCGUGGACUGCAGCACGCCCGGUUUCCCUUCCAUCACAAAUUCCUGGAGCUUACACAAAUUCAUGUUCAUUGAGUCAGUGAUGCCAUCCAACCAUCUCAUCCUCU
This 2313-nucleotide long non-coding RNA is filed under the name Capra hircus (goat). Its description in RNAcentral is "lncRNA (ENSCHIG00010015250.1)". Lineage: Eukaryota; Metazoa; Chordata; Mammalia; Artiodactyla; Bovidae. The record is from RNAcentral.